Molecule: small nucleolar RNA, 155 nt
Organism: Sphaeramia orbicularis (orbiculate cardinalfish)
Lineage: Eukaryota; Metazoa; Chordata; Actinopteri; Kurtiformes; Apogonidae
Product: small nucleolar RNA U109
Source: Ensembl
CUGCAUGUUUUGGCCUCUGGCUGUUGUUGGCCACUCACUGCCUGGGAGUGGACACGUACAAACAUGCUAGAUAAACACUUAAAACAUUUGGGAGUUAACAGGGCCACCAGUCUCUCAAGGACAGACUGAGUUGGUAGUAUAAUACUCCAACAAUC